RNAcentral lists this long non-coding RNA (5133 nucleotides) under Gallus gallus (chicken). RNAcentral's name for it is "lncRNA (ENSGALG00010025601.1)". The record is from RNAcentral. Lineage: Eukaryota; Metazoa; Chordata; Aves; Galliformes; Phasianidae.
AAAAAAUGGAAAAAAAUGGGGCAAAUGAACAAGCAUUAACAAACAAAGAAAAAACCCCACCCACAAUACUGCGAAUGUGAAAGUCUGUCUAGUCCUGAAAAGUCAUCGUGCAACCAGAUCUGACAAAUAGGACAGAAUCCUGCAACAUAACCUCUGUAUAGAUAUUGAUGGAUCCCACAUGUUGUGGAAAGCAGUGAUCGUUUAAGCUAAUUCUACACAUCAGUGCCCAUGAUCUGGGAGAAAACAGAAAGAACAAGCAAGCUUUCAUAACUUCCCUUGAUUCAGCUCAAACUGGGGCUUUCCCCUCACUGAGGAGAGGCACUGAGCAUUGCCAGCAAGGUUGAGGUCGGAGCACACCAAAUUUGAAUGCUCCUGAAUGGCUACAAAUCAUGUAUUUAAAGAGCAUCUUGAGGUGUAGAAGCUGCGGAUAUGCAGUUCAGUCUGCGAGCCACCAGGCACCAAAGAUAUGCUGCCCAGUUAAAUCAGAUUUCUUUACAGUUGUGAUCCAAGCCAUGAAGUGGAAACUCAAAAUGUGAGUUGGAAUUUGACAUAGGUUUUCCAUUGUUUGGAACAGUCAGUCAGAAGAGUGAACACUCACUUGUGAGGGAAAGGGAAACAGAGUGUUCCUACAGCAGAUAAAGCAGAGAGGCAUAAAAAUUCCUCAGCCUGGCCUGCAGCUCAACUAAAGAAAAUAGAUGCAGUGCUAGAUACUUGGAAAUUUUCAAGGUACACAGGAUUAAAGGGAACACCUGAGUUCCACAUCUGUUUCUUUUCAAAUGGAAAAUGAAGUGGAGAAAGGUACCUUUUCCUCUGGACUUGCUGACUGCACAGCCUGGCUGAAUGCCCAUCAUACUGCCUUAUCUUGCUCUUGUGUCGGAGUUCAGGCGCUAACAGGUGGUACCAGAUCGAUGCUGAGCAGUACUUCUGGGGAGGUGACACUCCGCCCUAGUACUUUGCUUACUGAUUUUCAGUUUCUCACAUGAAGCAGAAGCUAAUCAUGAUGUCUCAUCAUCAAAGUUAUUUCUCACUGGACUACUCAGAGGUGUUGUUGUCAAACCUUCCCAGCUACAUUGGUUAAUCCAUUCCAAGUGCCAGUAGUUAUCCUGAGCUCCAUGCUGACUGCUAUGACAUGAAACUUCAGAAUCUGUGCACCUCUGAUGUCAUCAGGAGCCAUUGAUGUCAGAGCGGCUUCUGCGCAGCGUGAAGGUCCGUGUCAACUCAUCACAUUACCUCUGCAUGAAAGCACAGAAUUAGAAUCAGAUGCCACUUCAACAUCCCUUUUUGUUUCUAACUGAGAAGACCCCUUGAUGUUUGAAUGAAAUAUGUAAUAAAAGGAAACCACAAAUAGCCAAGCCAUGUUUCAAAACUGAAGAGACUCUACUUGUUCCUUUAAACUAGAAGAAAAAUGUAACUUCCUAACACUGAUUGAUUUUGGGGAUCCAUCUGCAGCAGAACCAGAAUGCUUCUCUACUUCCCCACACCACUCAUCAGCUCUGCUUAUGUUGGCUAAACGUGUGAGAGAAAAUUGAAGACGUAACAAAGUUCCUACAUGCCAGUUUCCAGUGGAAGUAUGACUGUAAGCACGUGUACUUCUACCCAAACAUCAGGAUGUGCAAACUGCAGGAAGAUGCUAGGCUGGGUGUGAGUCUUUUAUUUCCUCUCACAUAAAUGUUUAGACCAAGUCCUAGUUCAGCUUUAGAAAGUGCUAAAUGUAGUAAUUGUUUUUUUAUAUACUCUUUAUGGUAUUUCUGUUUAGUUUAAGCCAUAAAUUUGAAUACAGAAAGCAUUAAAAAGAUAGUAGAGGAGUGAUAGCUUCUUUAUCCCUAGUUCCAAGCUCUGAGCAAGGUAGUGUUGGCUGUAGUUUUUAUUUGGAGGGAAGAGAAGCAACCUUUCUCAUAAACCUUUCAUUAGUUGAACACAGAGGUGACCAAGUUUCCACAUCAGAGUGCAUGACAACCCUAAGAUUGGCUCAUGAAAUGGUGGGGUGAGCCCUAAAGAGACAGGAUUUUAUGGCAUGGGUUGAGAGCAUGGGAUAUGAGGUGCUGCUAAGUGGCAUGCUGUUUAAUUAAGCACAUCUCUUUCUGCAUGGAGGUUUACUAGGUGACACGUUCAUAUCCUGCCUUUUCUUAUUCCCUUUGAAGCAAGCAGCCCAGUACUGCUUCAUGUGGUUGAGAUGUUGUUUUUCUACCUGAAGAGAAAGAUGGAAUAAACUUCUGAAUUCUCAUAGUUGAGCUGUGAGCUCGAACUUGUCAGUGAUAGAUAUUCUUUCUUGCAUGUAGAGGGCAUUCUGCGUUAUUUCUCUAAAAACUGGAUCUUGCUAAGUUUUACUGAUUUGUUCUGGACCAAAAAGCUGUAAACCAGCUCAGUUUGGACUUGUAUUAGUUGGGAUAGGCAGACACAAUCUUUGGGUAGCUGUUCAUAGCUGUUUCUCAUUGAGCGUGAUAGCUUCCUUUGCAUAUUCAUGCUCACUCCUCAGUUUACUCUUCAUAUUCAGUUCUUUGAUCAGUCAUAUGCUAAGUUUUUAAAAUAUGCAUCUUUUUAAAAUAACCAACAGCUUACAUACCUGCUUAAUAUGUCACUUUAUUCAGAAAGUAAUAAGAAGAUGAAAGGAGGAAAGUGACUUUUGUGUAAAAAUCUCACUCCAGGUGUGAGUGGAGGGAAAAAAAAUAGUCCUACUUUAUUAUGUCUUAUCUUUGAAAUUAUGUAAGUAUUUUUCAGUCAACAAAUUAAUUUUCAGCUGGAAAAUCACAGCUAUGAGUCGGUUGGGUUUUCACUCAUCAUAUCAUACUAUUACAGCAAAAACUGGAGUUCAUAAUGAUAUUGUGGAAACUGCUGAUCAAAGGUUGUUUACAUGGACUGUGUUCACUGAUUUGCCCUGUUUUCUCAUACAGAUGUGCUCUAAUGACUAUUCUCUGCAAAACUGAUUUUUCAAAAAGAUUCUUUAAUCUGAUUACUCUGUAAUUGUUAGUUAUUCUUGAGUGUGAGUUUACGUACAUAUUUGCUUGAAUGUGUGUUUCACAUGAUUGUGAUGCAAAUAUGCCACAUAAGAAAGGUAUUUCAAGAACAAAGUUACUUUAUCCAAAAGGAAAUAGCAGUUACUGCGGUAACUAAUUGGCACCUUUUAAAAAAUAAUUUUAAAAAAUAGUUUUCAAAAUCUAAAAUGAGGAAUUGUAAUUCAUCCGUAGAUAAAUGUAGGUAUGAAUUUCCACCAUCAGACAUAGCUUUCAAGCUAUGCUUUCUUCAAUGUGACGUGGUCUUUAAUUAGUCAUUGAUAGCUAAUGCUAUUCAGGAACAGCCAGUCUCCCCAGCAGUCAAAUCAACAGCCAUUCAAAUACCACAGAGUCUGAAUAUUACAUACAUAUAUAUGUUUUUAUAUGAAGUGAGUCUAGGAAGAUAAAAGGCUUCCCAUGGAGAAAUAUAUGAAAUAUAUUUCAUAUUUCUGACCCUCUAUUAAAAUAUUGAGUUUGCAGUUGAAGUUUUACACUGUUGCUGCUGACAGCACAGAGAUUCUUCAAUUCUACCCUAAAAACUAAAUAACAUAUUUGGAUGAUGCAGUUAGGACUGUUUCAUCUUAUCUCUUCCCAAGGAAAAUAUACUAUCAGAGGCAUUUUUAGGUAGGUGCAUCCACAACUACAUCUAUUCUAACAAUUUCGUUGUAAAAAAAAAAUGUUGGGAAAAGGUGAAAAAUGCCUUUAACUGACACUACUAUAUUAAAAAAAAAAAAAAAGUUUCCAGUGUAUGCUUGUCUCCCAGAAAAUGUCAGUUCCUGCUCUUUUUGGCAGAAACAUUUUCUUAACGAAUUUGAUACGUAAAGGAAGUAUUUCUAUUAUACCACUCUGCAGUUCCUUUGUGUGUCUGGCCAGUCACACUGCCUAAUUGCCUAAGACUGCCAACUGCAAAAGUCCUCAGUCGGGUAUUCAGACUUCAUUCCUUCUCCCCUGCAGCACUUUGCCUCGGUAGUGCUUGGGGUACUGCGUUUCUGCAGUGAAAAAAUGUAGCUAUGAAGUUAUUGAUCAAGGGAACUGAGAAUUUGUGUAUAGAUCACCAUUUCACUCUUCACUUUGAAGAUGUAGGGCAACCCUUCAGAAGAAAAGAACAGUGUUUGAAGCACAGUAAUAGCUAAAGAAGUGUUCAGGUAAUGGUGAACUCUGUUGCCUUUUCACUUGAAGCUAAGUAUUCCUUGAAAUGCUAGAUUUCUAAUUCAACUGUACUAACUUGGUAUUUUCCUUGUUACGCUUUGUUAUCAGGCUUUUCUUGUGCUAAAGUAAAUCUGUGUGAAACUGAGAAAAAUGCCAUGCUUUUUAAAUCUGAAUGGAGCAGUGUGCCAAAGCAGCUCAGGAGAACCAAAACCCAGUUUUGUUCAGCUACAGCAAACUACAGCAGUUUUUGUCCAGCUCUGAUGGCCUAUAUGGGAACCACUAUUUUGGGUAACAAGCUUCCAGGAGGCAUUAACAGACUGAAUAUCUUUCUGGCAUGUACCUAGCAAGGAAGGGCAGAGGCAUUCAGUAGCUCUAGCCUUACCAGAAAAUACUGAUUGCAGACAGUUUACCCAGAUCUUAUUUGUCCUUCCAAAUGAUGAGAGAACUGUGACACGAUCUAUUUCUUCCUGUGGACAACUGCCACUGAGCACUGUGAAAUAAGCUCUGACCUACUGACUUCUUCCUAGAAGUAUUUAAAAUGGAAAUGCCUGUUUUAAAAUACUCUUGUAUAUUUAAUUAACAUAUUUUAUUUAUUUCCAUUCAGUAAUUAAACAGAUCAGUGUGGGGAAAUUUUCAAAUAACCAAGAAAUCUCUGAUGCAUGCUAUUUUCAAAGCAAAACCAAAGACAACCCAAACUAUCUUCCUGACUGUAUUUCUAGUUUUCUAUAGCGUUGAUAGUGCUUCUUGUAGUAUUCCCAUCACAGAGGAAUUGCACUUGUAAGUACAAGAGAAAUGUUUGGGGCUACAAGUUUUUAACUGUGGUUGUAGUUCCACUUGUUGGCUUUGAGAAAGAGGAAAAUACCAUUUUUCACCUUCACGUUUUUAGAGGGGAAGAAACUGUCAUGUGAAUACUGAUGGAUGUCAAAUAAGGUGAUGCUUUGUGUAACUACAUUCAGGAUAUUCUUUCAAAAUUCGUUUGUUGGUCUCCCUGUAG